CCCGCACAAGCGGUGGAGCAUGUGGUUAAUUCGACGCAACGCGAAGAACCUUACCUGGGUUUGACAUCCCGAUCGUACUCUAUGGAAACAUAGGGGUCAGUUCGGCUGGAUCGGUGACAGGUGCUGCAUGGCUGUCGUCAGCUCGUGUCGUGAGAUGUUGGGUUAAGUCCCGCAACGAGCGCAACCCUUGUCCUUAGUUGCCACCAUUCAGUUGGGCACUCUAAGGAGACUGCCGGUGUUAAACCGGAGGAAGGUGGGGAUGACGUCAAGUCCUCAUGGCCCUUAUAUCCAGGGCUACACACGUGCUACAAUGGCCGGUACAAAGGGGCGCAAGACCGCGAGGUGGAGCAAAUCCCAAAAAACCGGUCUCAGUUCGGAUUGGAGUCUGCAACUCGACUCCAUGAAGUUGGAAUCGCUAGUAAUCGCGUAUCAGCAUGACGCGGUGAAUACGUUCCCGGGCCUU
RNAcentral lists this ribosomal RNA (463 nucleotides) under uncultured Geothermobacter sp. RNAcentral's name for it is "bacterial SSU rRNA". It matches the Rfam family "Bacterial small subunit ribosomal RNA", at positions 920 to 1382 of the family's 1533-position model. The record is from RNAcentral. Lineage: Bacteria; Pseudomonadati; Thermodesulfobacteriota; Desulfuromonadia; Desulfuromonadales; Geothermobacteraceae.